Drosophila obscura is the source of this 661-nucleotide long non-coding RNA. RefSeq lists it as uncharacterized. The transcript has 5 exons. NCBI's taxonomy places the organism in Eukaryota, Metazoa, Arthropoda, Insecta, Diptera, Drosophilidae. The record is from RefSeq and is a predicted model, not a curated record.
ACAUUCGUGUCACAGUGUGAAUGUGCCAACACUUUCUGGGCAUCUAGUAAGCAGCCACAUAAAAUUCACAAUAUGUCUACAUAAACUGAGGCCAUUCCAAAGCAUUCGCAACAAAUUCUCAUUAAAGUCCGAUAAGUAGCAGUAAUUUCAAGCAAAAAAAAAAAUGUCUGACAAACCUAAGGCAAAGCCCGUGGCCAGCAAGGGCGGCCGGGUUGUCACCAAGGAGAACAAGCCUGUGGUUAAGCCACAGCCAGUGGUACGCACCCCAACAACCCGUACGAAUCAACAUGAUCGGAUUUGGAAGAUCAUGAAAAUGUAAUCAUGACAGCCAUUCGACUUCUUUGUUGGUAUAUGCACCAAUUAACAUGAUCGGAUUUAGAAAAUCAUGAAAAUCCAACCAUGAUGGCUGCAAUUCGACCUCUUAAUUGGUAUACGCAACAAUCCACAUUAUCAGAUUUAAUAAAUCAUGGACACAAUAACAACAAUAAUUCGACCAGUUACAAUAGUCGGCACAGCUACCCCCCGAACACCACACCACCACGAUGUUCUCUUUUAAAUUUUUAUCUUAGCCUAUUUAUUCUGAAAUAAUUUAAAAUAAAAGUCCCGGUUUGGUUACUGCUGGGCGCUGGGCGCUGAAUAAAGCGAAAAUGUCCCAGCACAA